Molecule: ribosomal RNA, 465 nt
Filed under: uncultured bacterium
Lineage: Bacteria
Description: bacterial SSU rRNA
Rfam family: Bacterial small subunit ribosomal RNA
Source: RNAcentral
AUGAACGCUGGCGGCGUGCUUAACACAUGCAAGUCGAACGAUGAUCUCCAGCUUGCUGGGGGGAUUAGUGGCGAACGGGUGAGUAACACGUGAGUAACCUGCCCUUGACUCUGGGAUAAGCCUGGGAAACUGGGUCUAAUACUGGAUACGACCUUCCCACGCAUGUGGUGUUGGUGGAAAGCUUUUGUGGUUUUGGAUGGACUCGCGGCCUAUCAGCUUGUUGGUGGGGUAAUGGCCUACCAAGGCGACGACGGGUAGCCGGCCUGAGAGGGUGGACGGCCACACUGGGACUGAGACACGGCCCAGACUCCUACGGGAGGCAGCAGUGGGGAAUAUUGCACAAUGGGCGCAAGCCUGAUGCAGCGACGCCGCGUGAGGGAUGAAGGCCUUCGGGUUGUAAACCUCUUUCAGUAGGGAAGAAGCGAAAGUGACGGUACCUGCAGAAGAAGCGCCGGCUAACUACGU